GGAACCCGAGGCGAGAGAUCACCUCGCGGCGGAGCGGGGGAGGGACAUCUCCUCCCCCCAGCACACGGCCUGUCCUCGGCUCCCCUCCGCCGGGCACGCGGCGGAGGCGGCGGCCCGCGAAGGUGGUCUCGCUUUAUUGCAAGGGCAAACCUGCUGAUGCGCCGCCGCCUCCGCCGGGGCAGGCGAACCUGGCCGGCAGCACCGAGGCGGGGGCGUUUGGGGAGGGAGGAGGUCGUAGGGGAGAGCCGAGCACGUAAAGAUAGAAGCAGGCGUGGCAGGAGGGAGCCUGAGCUUUCCGGUGGAACACAUGACAGCAGGGACCUGCUCCAGGCAUUUUCAAGAUCAGUUCCUUGGGCUGCUCUAAGGCAACAAAAGUAUGCCAGGAGUCUCAACAGGGGCAUCUGCAAACUGGACUGGAGAAUCUUCACGACUCAGGUUGUUUAGAGAACAGUAAUUAUGCGUGGAGUUGCUGGUUUUGUGUGUCUGUAUAAGCCUGUGCUAGACUCAUUCACACCUGGUACUCUGAACAAAGGCAGUCUAAGCUCAGGUAAUCUGCAGAAAUGCUGUGGGUUCACCCUACCUGAUUUCAGAGGGCAUACUUGUAUUUCUAAAUAAUAAUAAAAAAUAAAGUCCCUGAUGUUAAGAAAGACUU
RNAcentral lists this long non-coding RNA (652 nucleotides) under Manacus vitellinus (golden-collared manakin). Its description in RNAcentral is "lncRNA (ENSMVIG00005002465.1)". Lineage: Eukaryota; Metazoa; Chordata; Aves; Passeriformes; Pipridae. The record is from RNAcentral.